RNAcentral lists this non-coding RNA (188 nucleotides) under human gut metagenome. The record is from RNAcentral.
CACCGCGAGGUGGAAUCUGAAAGAAGCUGGAUGUGGGAACAGACUAACCACGGGCAAACCUCUGUCCUGACGAACAGAAACCGCAUAGAAGGUUACCCAUGAGGGUGAGACUGCACAUCAAGUCGAAGCCUAAUAGCUGCACGGAAUCAUGUGUGAUAGAUGCGGCAGGCAGAUGGAGGGAAAGAAAC